Molecule: small RNA, 164 nt
Filed under: human gut metagenome
Description: Bacteroidales-1 6S-Bacteroidales RNA suggested
Rfam family: Bacteroidales-1 6S-Bacteroidales RNA suggested
Source: RNAcentral
GCCGCACUGGUUUGAUCGGGAUACUCAUCAGUUAAAUUAAGAAACCGAGACCAGCUCUGUCCACCAAUGGCGUGCCAUCCCAUUAUGGUUAGAUGGAUUACAGAGGUGAAACAGGCCCUCAAAUCCUAUCAUAAGGAGUUUCAUCACAUCAUCAGUGCGGCCCC